UACUCCUACGGGAGGCAGCAGUAGGGAAUCUUCGGCAAUGGACGGAAGUCUGACCGAGCAACGCCGCGUGAGUGAAGAAGGUUUUCGGAUCGUAAAGCUCUGUUGUAAGAGAAGAACGAGUGUGAGAGUGGAAAGUUCACACUGUGACGGUAUCUUACCAGAAAGGGACGGCUAACUACGUGCCAGCAGCCGCGGUAAUACGUAGGUCCCGAGCGUUGUCCGGAUUUAUUGGGCGUAAAGCGAGCGCAGGCGGUUAGAUAAGUCUGAAGUUAAAGGCUGUGGCUUAACCAUAGUACGCCUUGGAAACUGUUUAACUUGAGUGCAAGAGGGGAGAGUGGAAUUCCAUGUGUAGCGGUGAAAUGCGUAGAUAUAUGGAGGAACACCGGUGGCGAAAGCGGCUCUCUGGCUUGUAACUGACGCUGAGGCUCGAAAGCGUGGGGAGCAAACAGGAUUAGAUACCCUGGUAGUCCACGCCGUAAACGAUGAGUGCUAGGUGUUAGACCCUUUCCGGGGUUUAGUGCCGUAGCUAACGCAUUAAGCACUCCGCCUGGGGAGUACGACCGCAAGGUUGAAACUCAAAGGAAUUGACGGA
This 592-nucleotide ribosomal RNA is filed under the name uncultured bacterium. RNAcentral describes it as "bacterial SSU rRNA". It matches the Rfam family "Bacterial small subunit ribosomal RNA", at positions 334 to 917 of the family's 1533-position model. The record is from RNAcentral.